RNAcentral lists this ribosomal RNA (891 nucleotides) under uncultured bacterium. RNAcentral's name for it is "bacterial SSU rRNA". It matches the Rfam family "Bacterial small subunit ribosomal RNA", at positions 8 to 916 of the family's 1533-position model. The record is from RNAcentral.
AGAGUUUGAUCAUGGCUCAGGAUGAACGCUGGCGGCGUGCCUAACACAUGUAAGUCGAACGUGAAGCACUUCUUCGGAAGGGUGGAAAGUGGCGAACGGGUGAGUAACACGUGGGUGACCUGCCCCGAGACGGGGGACAACCGUGGGAAACUACGGCUAAUACCCCAGAUGUCUAAGUUGUUAGAGGACUUAGACUAAAAUUACGGUGUCUUGGGAGGGGCCCGCGGGCUAUCAGCUUGUUGGUGGGGUAAUGGCCUACCAAGGCUAAGACGGCUAGGGGGCGUGAGAGCGCGACCCCCCACAAUGGAACUGAGACACGGUCCAUACUCCUACGGGAGGCAGCAGUGAGGAAUAUUGCACAAUGGGGGAAACCCUGAUGCAGCAACGCCGCGUGGAUGAUGAAGGCUUUCGGGUCGUAAAAUCCUUUUUUAGGGAACGAUAAUGACGGUACUCUAAGAAUAAGUCCCGGCUAACUACGUGCCAGCAGCCGCGGUAAAACGUAGGGGGCGAGCGUUAUCCGGAUUUAUUGGGCGUAAAGCGCACGUAGGUGGUGCUAUAAGUUGGAUGUUAAAGCUCUCGGCUUAACCGGGAGAGGUCAUUCAAGACUGUAGUGCUUGAGGUUGGAAGAGGAGAGCGGAAUUCCCGGUGUAGUGGUGGAAUGCGUAGAUAUCGGGAGGAACACCAGUGGCGAAAGCGGCUCUCUAGUCCACACCUGACACUGAGGUGCGAAAGCGUGGGGAGCGAACGGGAUUAGAUACCCCGGUAGUCCACGCUGUAAACGAUGGAUACUAGGCGUGGGAGGUUCUUUACCCCUUCUGUGCCGUAGCUAACGCGUUAAGUAUCCCGCCUGGGGACUACGGCCGCAAGGCUAAAACUUAAAGGAAUUGACGG